GCGGAGGGAUCCGAAAAUCCGUAGAAAAGAGUAGGAA
Molecule: non-coding RNA, 37 nt
Filed under: unclassified sequences
Description: DUF805b RNA
Rfam family: DUF805b RNA
About the family: Bacteroidetes, Chlorobi (1 example), Proteobacteria. Lineage (Flavobacteria)
Source: RNAcentral